UCUAAAAGUGUUUCAGUUUUCUCCUAAACUCUUAGUCCCAAAUUUGCAGAACUUUUCAUUUUCAUUUUCCCCAAAAUCUCAACCAACCUUCAAUCUCCAUCUCAGUUUUAUUUCCCCCAAUUGACAUUCCAUCCUCCAUCUCAGGUUCCUCCCCAUUCAUGACCACCCUCCAUCUCAGGUUCCGUAAAAUCGCGCUUUCAUUCAUCUUGAUGCGAAAAACUCCUAAAUUACUCAUCUUGCGAAAAACCCCAAAUCCCUAAAAUCACUUGAAGCCUUACGUGAUCAAAAAGCUUGAACUUCAACUCAAAUCCCUGCGUAUUGCUUUGCACCUUGCUGCCAAACGAGGAGGAGAAAUGAGGUGUCGUGCAACGUCGGCGGCGGAGGAGUCUCCGGUGAAAACGAGGAGGUGGAGGAGGCGUUUCACAUGGACGACACAAUUCCUGGAAGCUCCGACGAGUUCCUGAAACGUGUUUCCUCCCGUGCUUAUGACAUGCACAAGAAUCUUCAUAUGUCUUUUGAUUCUAGUAGCUACGACGGUUACUGGCCAGAACUUGGACAUUUGGCACAACACACUUGAAUUUGGACCUGAUGCCUUGCGGCAUUAUUAUUAUAUCAGUAUCUUUCUUCAACUUCAGAGGCUGCUGAGGAAAAAAUUUCUCUACUUCAAGAGAACGAAACUUUGCUGAAAUUGAAUAAGAAGCUGAAUAAAGAAAAGAAAACCUUGUGGAAGAACAAAGAUUUGACAUAUAUUCAAAUUGGAAAGUUAACUAAAUCCUUGGAUGCAAUGCAGAAAGAUAUCAGAGACAAAGAGAAUUAGUGGAUUAAGCACAGUUCAGAUACUUGCAGAUGCUUUGCCUAAAAUUGUUCCUUAUGUCUUGAUCAACCAUCGUGAAGUUUUGUUUUAGUGUUUUAUUAUUUGGAUGUUUAGAUUCUUCACUAGUUGCAACUAUCUCUACUAGAAUCAUGACUGACACAAAGGUGUUUUAAUCUCUUUAAGUGUAGUAGUUUUUGUUCACUAUACCUCAAAUACUAAUUAACUUGGCCAAUUUGAAAACGUGUUGCAGUUUAGCAUUGGCUUUUUAGGAUAAACAUGCUAUUUGGAAUGCAUAUACACUCUUUUUAUGUCUCA
This is a long non-coding RNA of Cicer arietinum (chickpea), 1129 nucleotides long. RefSeq lists it as uncharacterized. Lineage: Eukaryota; Viridiplantae; Streptophyta; Magnoliopsida; Fabales; Fabaceae. The record is from RefSeq and is a predicted model, not a curated record.